RNAcentral lists this ribosomal RNA (591 nucleotides) under uncultured Acidobacteriaceae bacterium. Its description in RNAcentral is "bacterial SSU rRNA". It matches the Rfam family "Bacterial small subunit ribosomal RNA", at positions 9 to 631 of the family's 1533-position model. Lineage: Bacteria; Pseudomonadati; Acidobacteriota; Terriglobia; Terriglobales; Acidobacteriaceae. The record is from RNAcentral.
GAGUUUGAUCAUGGCUCAGAAUCAACGCUGGCGGCGUGCCUAACACAUGCAAGUCGCACGAGAAAGGGUAGCAAUACCUGAGUACAGUGGCGCACGGGUGAGUAACACGUGAAUCAUCUACCUUCGAGUGGGGAAUAACUGAGAGAAAUCUUAGCUAAUACCGCAUAAUACCUACGGGUCAAAGCAGCAAUGCGCUUGAAGAGGAGUUCGCGGCAGAUUAGUUAGUUGGCGGGGUAAUGGCCCACCAAGACGAUGAUCUGUAUCCGGCCUGAGAGGGCGCACGGACACACUGGAACUGAAACACGGUCCAGACUCCUACGGGAGGCAGCAGUGGGGAAUUUUGCGCAAUGGGGGAAACCCUGACGCAGCAACACCGCGUGGAGGAUGAAAUCCCUUGGGAUGUAAACUCCUUUCGAUAGGGAAGAUAAUGACGGUACCUAUAGAAGAAGCCCCGGCUAACUUCGUGCCAGCAGCCGCGGUAAUACGAGGGGGGCAAGCGUUGUUCGGAAUUAUUGGGCGUAAAGGGUGCGUAGGCGGUUUGACAAGUCUUAUGUGAAAUCUUCGGGCUCAACCCCGAAGUCUGCAUGGGAA